CCUACGGGAGGCAGCAGUGGGGGAUAUUGCACAAUGGGGGAAACCCUGAUGCAGCGACGCCGCGUGGGCGAAGAAGUAUUUCGGUAUGUAAAGCCCUAUCAGCAGGGAAGAAGAAAUGACGGUACCUGAGUAAGAAGCACCGGCUAAAUACGUGCCAGCAGCCGCGGUAAUACGUAUGGUGCAAGCGUUAUCCGGAUUUACUGGGUGUAACGGGAGCGCAGGCGGCACGGCAAGCCUGAUGGGAAAGCCCGCGGCCCAAACGCGGGGAUGCAGUUGGAACUACCGGGCUGGAGUGGCGGAGAGGUAGGGGGAAUGCCCAGUGUAGCGGUGAAAUGCGUAGAUAAUAGGGGG
Molecule: ribosomal RNA, 351 nt
Filed under: uncultured bacterium
Lineage: Bacteria
Description: partial 16S ribosomal RNA
Rfam family: Bacterial small subunit ribosomal RNA
Source: RNAcentral